This 482-nucleotide ribosomal RNA is filed under the name uncultured bacterium. Its description in RNAcentral is "bacterial SSU rRNA". It matches the Rfam family "Bacterial small subunit ribosomal RNA", at positions 28 to 507 of the family's 1533-position model. The record is from RNAcentral.
GACGAACGCUGGCGGCGUGCCUAACACAUGCAAGUCGAGCGAAGUGAUUUGGAGUGAAGUUUUCGGAUGGAACAAAGAAUCAUCUUAGCGGCGAACGGGUGAGUAACGCGUGAGAAACCUGCCUUUCACAAAGGGAUAGCCUCGGGAAACUGGGAUUAAUACCUUAUGAUACUCUUAGAUCGCAUGAUCUGAAAGUUAAAGUGUAAAGCGGUGAAAGAUGGUCUCGCGUCCUAUUAGCUAGUUGGUGAGGUAACGGCUCACCAAGGCUGCGAUAGGUAGCCGGCCUGAGAGGGUGAACGGCCACACUGGAACUGAGACACGGUCCAGACUCCUACGGGAGGCAGCAGUGGGGAAUAUUGCACAAUGGAGGAAACUCUGAUGCAGCGACGCCGCGUGAAUGAUGAAGGCCUUCGGGUCGUAAAGUUCUGUCCUUGGGGAAGAUAAUGACGGUACCCAAGGAGGAAGCCCCGGCUAACUACGUG